AACAAUGCAGAAGCUGAUGGUACAAAUGGGAAACCACCUUCUAUGCGAAACCCGUGGUAUGGGUUGGUAACUAAUCGGUCUGGUUCAAGAAGAGCAUAAAACCGGCGCAUUACGUGUUCGAAUGUAGACGGAAGUGCGGACCGCUUAGCAUUUAGGUGAGAGGGCGGGGCCCAACCCAAGACCAAGAGUUGCCGGCCGCUAUAUAAAUAAGUCACACCAACUCCUCCCUCAACAAGUGAUGCACUAUACACCUCUAC
RNAcentral lists this long non-coding RNA (257 nucleotides) under Salvia miltiorrhiza (redroot sage). RNAcentral's name for it is "long non-coding RNA (SMIL_LNC011265)". Lineage: Eukaryota; Viridiplantae; Streptophyta; Magnoliopsida; Lamiales; Lamiaceae. The record is from RNAcentral.